This 3982-nucleotide long non-coding RNA is filed under the name Mus musculus (house mouse). RNAcentral describes it as "long non-coding RNA chr2:61713086-61717068". The record is from RNAcentral. Lineage: Eukaryota; Metazoa; Chordata; Mammalia; Rodentia; Muridae.
CAGGCUGAUCUCUGAGUUGAAGACCAGCCUAGUCUACAAAAACGAGUUCUGAGCCAGUUAGGGCUAUACAGUGAGAUCCUGUCUCACAAAAACAACAACAACAACAAAAAUAAUAUGAAAGCGCUAGUAAAGAUCUAAUUUAUAGAAAAGGCCUUAAAUGUUAGCAAAGAAAUACAGUUCUCAUGUGAACACUCGCAGUACUAGGGAGGAAAAGGUGGGGAGAAUCUUCUGCUGUUUGAGGCCGGCCUGGUCUGUGUAACCGAUUAUAGGUCAGGCUGCUGCUGGUUCUGCUUUUCUGUUUGUUUUUGAGAUGGCUUCUCCCUACACAGCCCAGGCUAACCACUGCCUGAUGGGAUCUUCCUGCUUUAGCCUCCACAGUGUAGUGUUGGAAUUACAGGUAUGUGCAUCAGUACCCAGCCUAAAAAUUGGUUGUACUGCUGCAAACAUAAUGUAAGUAAAGCAACAAGACAAGCACUUAACGUUGAAGUUGGAAACUGGACAGAUUGUCAAUGUGGAUAAUUAAUAUAAUGGUGCCCGUCUUGCCAUGUUACCUCAAUCAAUGGUUUGUUUUUUAAUGUUUAAAUUCUAUUGCUUAGGGCCUUGAGAGAGUUCCUGCAGAGUACCUGGGUUCUAUUCCCAGCACCCAUAUCCAGUGACUCACAAUGGAUUGUAACUCCAGCUCUGCAGAUGUCCUGGGGUACCUGUACUGAUGUGUAGAUACCCUCCCCCCACACAAUUAAAACAAUACAAAUAAAUUGUAUGUCUUAAAGUGCAUAGGUUGUAUAUGUAGACAUAAUUAAGAUAAACAGUGGCUCAUCAUUAACUAUAGUGAAUGUGUUUUGGUAAAGAACUGAAAGUUGUUUUGAAUUUGCCUAAAACAAAGUUAAAUCUUGUCAAAAGAACAACAUUUUGAAGUUCUGAUCUUUUAUUUUACUCUCACCUGUUGGAUUUGGGACGUUUAUCCCACCCCCACCCAAUAAGAUCUUUGAUAAUAAAACAUUGUUAUUGUAGUUAAAAAGCUGGAUUUUUAACUUCAGGGACUGGAUUCAUCUCCUUUGUAUACUUGCCAUAUAAACACUAUACCUAGUACCUAGAUUCAGAAUCAUUUGAAAGUCAGUAACAGGAAGCAGUUGUGCCUUUUUGGUGAAUAUUUUGCUUAGAUGUUGUAAUUAGCGACCAUGUGGUAGAUAGCUAUGUUUCUUUUAAGACUAAAUUCGCAGUCUUCUACAUGGAGGUUGGAGUGGAAUCCUGUUUUUUAAUUUUUAAAAUACUGAUUCACUGAUUGGUGUUUGUAGGAGAUGGGGGAGACAGAUACAGGUGGAGACAGUUGGAUACAAUGGCUGUGAAAAGGGGAGAAGUCUGAUGGCAUCCAGAAGUCAGUUCAGCACUUCCACCAUUUGGGUUCUGGGGCUCAAACUAAGACAUCAGGCUAAGCAGUAAGCCCUUCAGUUGCUAAGCCUCCUUGCUGGUGGCUCCCAAUCUUGCUUUCCAAGUGUUGUAAUUCCAGUAUUCCCCAGGCAGAGGUGGUAGGAUUGCUGCACCUGUGAGACCAGCGUGUCUAUGGCAAGGUCCUGGGUGGUGAGACCAUGUCUCAUAAAAACUAAAAGGUGGGGAAAAAAAAUCCUACUUAAAGAGUUACAUUUAAUUUUAGCUCUAGUUCUGAUUGAACUGGAAAAAGUAGGGUCGAAGUUCCUAUCUUCCACAAAUCAGAGAACAGAGGAAUUGAAUGUAGAAAUAUAGUGGGAUCCCAAAUAUGGAGUAGUUUGAAAGGAUUUACUAUUAGUUUGAGAGUAUUAAUAUUUACAUAGAGGAAUGGGGAGUAAAACAGUAAAGUAGGAGAUACAAUGUAAAGCCUGAAUGACUAAGUGCUUCAUGAUUUUAAAUGAAGUCUAGGUAGUUUUGAUUUGUUAGUAUCCCUAGGAAGGUGGGAAGUGUAAACUCAUUCAACUCUGAAGGCUCUGCUUUCUAGGUUGCCAUUGUUCCAUGCAGUGCCUAUAAAUACUGGAGAACUGAUUUAAAGCCAUCAUGAACAUGAUCUAAAAAUAAUUACAUUUUAGUCAGCUAUUACCCUGAGAGAUUAAGUGGCAAGUUAUCAACCUUCAAGUAGAUACUUGUUUUAGGCUCUUUGCUAAUAAGGGUUCUGAAUAUUGCUAUGUAUGUGAUGUUAUACUGGGUAUGUAAAACACGUCAUCUUGUGGUAAGAAAUGUGUUAAGAGAAGUUAUAUCAGGGGUAGACAGGGAAGGGGCUCAGAGUGCCUAGCAGCACUUGUAAGAGCACAGGAUUCAGGUUAAGCUUCCAGCACCCAUGUUCAGAGGAUCUGACACCCUUUUCUGGAUCUUAAGGGGCACCAGGCAUUCAUAUGGUAUGCAUUCAUGCAUGCAGGUAAACACACAUCAAAAUAAAAUAGAUUAAAGAAAAUACCAAAGUGAAUCUAUUAUAAGUGGGCUCUUAAAUCCUCAGUUUUUUGAUAGGUGGAAACUUAGUUUGGAUCUAGAAACCUUUUAUAUUGCUUCUGUUUCUGAGAAUUGAAGAUGUUCUCUUUUAACCGGGUGGUUAUGCCUCAUGACUUGGAGGCAGAGGCAGGCAGAUCUUUGUGAGUUUUAGGCUUAGCCUGGUCUAUAGAGUGAGAUCCAGGACUACACAGAGAAACCCUGUCUUGAACCCCACCCACCAAAAAACCCCAAAGCAACAACAAUGACACCCUCACUUUUAUGUUACUGUGUACAGUUUACCUUGUGAACCUUUUGCUGAAUUCUGAAAAUGUACGCCCCUGUCUCCAAUAUGAUGGAUUUAUUUCUGUGAAUAUACCUGGUGUUCUAUGGCUUCUAAGGGGCUUCAGAGUGAGGAAGAAGGGUGGCCAUUCUAAGAUGGUGAGUGCUGUUAUAAAAGUAGCACUCAUUGUGUGCUUGUUUUAUGCUUAUGGUUGUGUUAAAUGUUUUUCUGUGUGCAUUGAUUUCUAAACAGCUGUAUGAAACAGACGUUCUCUAUUCUCUUUUUGUGAAUGAGAAAAUUAAGGAGAGGUAAUUGACUGAAGAAUGAGUGUUAGAGCCAAUGCUGCCUUCCUGGCUCCUCCUGCAGGGUGACUGCAUUGACCCCCAUAUGCUAAGGAAAAUAGUUGUCAUUAUUUAUCUCAUCCCAGGGCGCUGUUUGUUUCUUGCACCCCUACAUCAUCUUAUUAAUAACUUAAUGAUAUGAAAUAAAGAUUGGGAAAAUUAUAUUUGAGAUGUUAGUUGUACAUGUAGCAUAUGUAAGUUCUUAUUCUGUAUUUUUCUGAUUUUGAAAGUUGAGGUAACUCAGAUGAACAACGUCUUUUGAGUGUAGCUAAUUGCUCACUAUAUUCCAUGCAUGAAUCCCUGGAAUAUAUGUCUCUUGUGAAAAUGAGUUCUGUAUUUCAAAUUCCUUGAUAGGAACUGGAGGUAUAGUUGAGUAACAGAAAGCUUGCCUAGCAUGGUUCAAUGGGCUCAAUCCUCAGGACUGCCAAAAAAUCCUCAAGUGUUGGUACAUUUGUAGUAGGCCCUGAUUUGUUUUGUUUUGUUGUGUGUGUGUCUGUGUGUCUGUGUGUGGUGUGGUGUAAAAUAGACUUGGUAAAAUGUAUCAUUUUAACCUUUUGGUAUGUAGUUCUGCAGUGUUCAGUAUAUUUGCUUGUUGAAUCACUGUAUUAUUACCAACCAUUUCCAGAGCUUCUCAUCUUCCCACUUGUAAUACUUUUUUAAAAAACAUUGACAGCUCAUGAUUUUGUUGAAUGGAGGAGAGCCAUCAUAUCUGCUUUGAUUGUAAAACAUUUUAUUUUUAGAUUUAUAAAUACCAAUUAGAGUUGACAAAUGGGAUUACAUGAAAUUAAAAAAGCUUCCAUAUAGCAAAAUACAAAAAUCUUACCAGUGAACAGACAGCCUGCAGAAUAGGAGAAAAUUUUUGCCAGCUAUACUUUAGACAGAGGGGUUAGUAUCUAGAAUAUAUAAAGAACCACAAAAAUUAAACAUC